GUUAGAUGGGGGGCAGCAGCCGGUGAAAUAGGAUGGGUGCUGGCGUGAGUCGGAAUCACGGGGCGGAAGGCGAGCGGAGGCGGCUGUUCAAGUGAGGGUUGAAAUGCUUGGGCUCAACCCAAGAACUGCCUUUGAAACUGGAAAGCUGGAGUGUCGGAGGGGAUAGCGGAAUUCCUAAUGUAGUGGUGAAAUACGUAGAUAUUAGGAGGAACACCGGUGGCGAAGGCGGCUAUCUGGACGGCAACUGACGCUGAGGCGCGAAAGCGCGGGGAUCAAACAGGAUUAGAUACCCUAGUAGUC
Molecule: ribosomal RNA, 300 nt
Filed under: uncultured Natrialba sp.
Lineage: Archaea; Methanobacteriati; Methanobacteriota; Halobacteria; Halobacteriales; Natrialbaceae
Description: bacterial SSU rRNA
Rfam family: Bacterial small subunit ribosomal RNA
Source: RNAcentral